UACGGAGGGUGCAAGCGUUGCUCGGAAUUAUUGGGCGUAAAGGGUAGGUAGGUGGUCUCGUUUGUCCGGGGUGAGAGCCCGGAGCUUAACUUCGGAAGUGCCUCGGAAACGGCGAGACUGGAGUCCUGGAGAGGGUCGUGGAAUUCCCGGUGUAGCGGUGAAAUGCGUAGAGAUCGGGAGGAAUACCAGAGGCGAAGGCGGCGACCUGGACAGGUACUGACACUCAACUACGAAAGCGUGGGGAGCAAACAGG
This 253-nucleotide ribosomal RNA is filed under the name uncultured bacterium. Its description in RNAcentral is "partial 16S ribosomal RNA". It matches the Rfam family "Bacterial small subunit ribosomal RNA", at positions 524 to 776 of the family's 1533-position model. The record is from RNAcentral.